UACGUAGGGUGCAAGCGUUGUCCGGAUUUAUUGGGUUUAAAGGGUGCGUAGGCGGCCCUGUAAGUCAGUGGUGAAAUACUCCAGCUUAACUGGAGGGGUGCCAUUGAUACUGCAGGGCUUGAGUUAAGUUGAAGUUGGCGGAAUUGACGGUGUAGCGGUGAAAUGCUUAGAUAUCGUCAAGAACACCGAUAGUGAAGACAGCUAACUAAACUUUUACUGACGCUGAGGCACGAAAGUGUGGGGAUCAAAC
Molecule: ribosomal RNA, 250 nt
Filed under: uncultured bacterium
Lineage: Bacteria
Description: partial 16S ribosomal RNA
Rfam family: Bacterial small subunit ribosomal RNA
Source: RNAcentral